AGAGUCGCCCGGAUCACCGCGUCAUAGAAAUAUGCCGAGGAAAGUCCGGACUCCAUAGAGCAAGGUGGUGGGUAACGCCCACCCGGAGCAAUCCGCGGGAAUAGUGCCACAGAAAAUAAACCGCUCGUUAGCAAUAACGAGUAAGGGUGAAACGGUGGUGUAAGAGACCACCAGCAUGUACGGCAACGUAUGUGGCUAGGCAAACCCCACUUGGAGCAAGACCAGACAGGUAGUGCUUGAGAACUGCUCGUUCGAGCUACCGGGUAGGUCGCUUGAUUCGGCGAGUAAUUGCCGAACUAGAUGGAUGGUGAUCCGACCUUGUUGCGAAAGCAGCGAGGACGACAGGAUCCGGCUUAUAGGGCGACUCUUCUA
This 372-nucleotide RNase P RNA is filed under the name Candidatus Nanopelagicaceae bacterium. RNAcentral's name for it is "RNase P RNA component class A". It matches the Rfam family "Bacterial RNase P class A". Rfam says of the family: Ribonuclease P (RNase P) is a ubiquitous endoribonuclease, found in archaea, bacteria and eukarya as well as chloroplasts and mitochondria. Its best characterised activity is the generation of mature 5'-ends of tRNAs by cleaving the 5'-leader elements of precursor-tRNAs. Lineage: Bacteria; Bacillati; Actinomycetota; Actinomycetes; Candidatus Nanopelagicales; Candidatus Nanopelagicaceae. The record is from RNAcentral.